This 253-nucleotide ribosomal RNA is filed under the name uncultured bacterium. Its description in RNAcentral is "partial 16S ribosomal RNA". It matches the Rfam family "Bacterial small subunit ribosomal RNA", at positions 524 to 776 of the family's 1533-position model. The record is from RNAcentral.
UACGUAGGGACCGAGCGUUGUCCGGAUUUAUUGGGCGUAAAGAGCUCGUAGGCGGCUUGUCGCGUCGUCCGUGAAAACCUGCAGCUCAACUGCAGUCUUGCGGGCGAUACGGGCAGGCUAGAGUUCGGUAGGGGAGACUGGAAUUCCUGGUGUAGCGGUGAAAUGCGCAGAUAUCAGGAGGAACACCGGUGGCGAAGGCGGGUCUCUGGGCCGAUACUGACGCUGAGGAGCGAAAGCGUGGGGAGCGAACAGG